UACAGAGGUGGCAAGCGUUGUUCGGAAUUACUGGGCGUAAAGGGCGCGUAGGCGGUUCGUUAAGUCCUGUGUGAAAUCCCCCGGCUCAACUGGGGAACUGCACAGGAAACUAGCGGGCUUGAGUUCGGGAGAGGGAAGCGGAAUUCCGGGUGUAGCGGUGAAAUGCGUAGAUACCCGGAGGAACACCGGUGGCGAAGGCGGCUCCUGGACCGCACUGACGCUGAGGCGCGAAAGCUAGGGGAGCAAACGGG
RNAcentral lists this ribosomal RNA (251 nucleotides) under uncultured bacterium. RNAcentral describes it as "partial 16S ribosomal RNA". It matches the Rfam family "Bacterial small subunit ribosomal RNA", at positions 524 to 776 of the family's 1533-position model. The record is from RNAcentral.